UAGGGAAUCUUCCACAAUGGGCGCAAGCCUGAUGGAGCAACACCGCGUGAGUGAAGAAGGGUUUCGGCUCGUAAAGCUCUGCUGUUAAAGAAGAACACGUAUGAGAGUAACUGUUCAUACGUUGACGGUAUUUAACCAGAAAGUCACGGCUAACUACGUGCCAGCAGCCGCGGUAAUACGUAGGUGGCAAGCGUUAUCCGGAUUUAUUGGGCGUAAAGAGAGUGCAGGCGGUUUUCUAAGUCUGAUGUGAAAGCCUUCGGCUUAACCGGAGAAGUGCAUCGGAAACUGGAUAACUUGAGUGCAGAAGAGGGUAGUGGAACUCCAUGUGUAGCGGUGGAAUGCGUAGAUAUAUGGAAGAACACCAGUGGCGAAGGCGGCUACCUGGUCUGCAACUGACGCUGAGACUCGAAAGCAUGGGUAGCGGACAGGAUUAGAUACCCUGGUAGUCCAUGCCGUAAACGAUGAGUGCUAGGUGUUGGAGGGUUUCCGCCCUUCAGUGCCGGAGCUAACGCAUUAAGCACUCCGCCUGGGGAGUACGACCGCAAGGUUG
RNAcentral lists this ribosomal RNA (550 nucleotides) under uncultured bacterium. Its description in RNAcentral is "bacterial SSU rRNA". It matches the Rfam family "Bacterial small subunit ribosomal RNA", at positions 355 to 896 of the family's 1533-position model. The record is from RNAcentral.